GAGGAGUGAAGUCAGGCUCCGGGGGAGGGGCGGGGAGGGGCCGGCGGCGGGGCCGGAGCUGGUGCUGCUCCCGAGCCCGGCGCACCCGGGUCCCGACGCUGGCUCCAGCCGUCCCUUCUGGCUUCGCCUGGCUCUGCCCCGGCGCCGCCGCUGCUCCGCUCCUGCGGGCGUCAGACCCCCGGGGCGGCGGGGUUCCCCCUCCGACUUUGCCCGGGCUGCCCCCGCCGGCACCGCGGAGCCGGGCGCGCGCGGGUCCUGGUAACUGUCGCCGCGGCCGCCGAGGCGCUUUUCCGCUGGUGGCCCGGGCGCAGCGUUCGGGUGGCGGAGGCGUGAGCGCGGCUUCCCGGCCCGGGGUCCGCCACCGCCCGCCCUCCCCCGCCUCGGCCCGGUGCCCCGCAGCCGCGGCCCCAUCCGAGCGCAGGGGCCGGCGGCCGGGGCAGGGCGGGCGUAUUCAAUGGAAGUAUGUUACCAGCUGCCGGUGCUGCCCCUGGACAGGCCGGUCCCCCAGCACGUCCUCAGCCGCCGAGGAGCCAUCAGCUUCAGCUCCAGCUCCGCGCUCUUCGGCUGCCCCAAUCCGCGGCAGCUCUCCCAGAGGCGUGGAGCUAUUUCCUAUGACAGCUCUGACCAGACUGCAUUGUACAUUCGUAUGCUAGUGGGCCACGCACUGUGUAUGACUGUCACACACAUAGGCCUUUGUUGCAUAUGGGAGCUUCUUCCCAGACGGCAGCCUUCUCAGCUGUGUUUCAUCCUUGACCCACCAGGAGAUGUGCGCGUAAGGAGUCGAGCAGGAUUUGAAUCAGAAAGAAGAGGUUCUCAUCCGUAUAUUGAUUUUCGUAUUUUUCACGCUCAAUCUGAAAUUGAAGUUUCAGUGUCUGCAAGGAAUAUCAGAAGGUUACUAAGUUUCCAGCGGUAUCUUAGAUCAUCACGUUUUUUUCGUGGUGCAACUGUUUCAAACUCUCUGAACAUUUUAGAUGAUGAUUAUAAUGGACAAGCCAAGUGUAUGCUGGGAAAAGUUGGAAAUUGGAAUUUUGAUAUCUUUCUAUUUGAUAGACUAACAAAUGGAAAUAGUCUAGUAAGUUUAACCUGUCAUUUAUUUAGUCUUCAUGGAUUAAUUGAGUACUUCCAUUUAGAUAUGGUGAAACUUCGUAGAUUUUUAGUUAUGAUUCAAGAAGAUUACCACAGUCAGAACCCGUACCACAACGCCGUCCACGCUGCGGACGUCACUCAGGCCAUGCACUGUUACCUACGAGAACCCAAGCUUGCCAACUCCGUAACUCCUUGGGAUGUCUUGCUGAGCUUAAUUGCAGCUGCCACGCAUGAUCUGGAUCAUCCAGGUGUUAAUCAACCUUUCCUUAUUAAAACUAACCAUUACUUGGCAACUUUAUACAAGAAUACCUCAGUCCUGGAAAACCACCACUGGAGAUCUGCCGUGGGGUUAUUGAGAGAAUCCGGUUUAUUCUCACAUAUGCCGUUAGAGAGCAGGAAACAAAUGGAGACUCAGAUAGGUGCUCUGAUACUGGCCACAGACAUCAGUCGCCAAAACGAGUACCUGUCGCUGUUCAGGUCCCAUUUGGAUAGAGGUGACUUAUGCCUGGAAGAUGCCAGACAUAGGCAUUUGGUUUUACAGAUGGCUUUGAAAUGUGCUGAUAUUUGUAACCCGUGUCGGACCUGGGAAUUAAGCAAGCAGUGGAGUGAAAAAGUAACAGAGGAAUUCUUCCAUCAAGGAGACAUCGAGAAGAAGUACCAGCUGGGUGUGAGUCCAUUUUGUGAUCGUCAGACUGAAUCUAUUGCCAACAUCCAGAUUGGUUUUAUGACAUACCUAGUGGAGCCUUUAUUCACGGAAUGGGCCAGGUUUUCCAAUACCAGGCUGUCCCAGACGAUGCUCGGACACGUGGGGCUGAACAAAGCCAGUUGGAAGGGACUGCAGAGAGAACAGCCCAGCAGUGAGGACAGCGAAGCUGCACUCGAGGAGCUGAACUCAUAGUAUUACCUCAGGAAACCGGUUGUCAUAACCCAGAACCGGGGACAGGCUGCCUCCUGGAGGUUAGAAGGUGGCAUGGGGGCUGGAGGUGAGGGAACUGACUCGGCUGCAGGUUUCCGGGUGGAUGAUGCCAGGAUUUCCUCUGCCGGCCACUUGAACCCACUUUUUAAUUAUGAGGCCUGAACACAGCAAUAUGGAUGCGGCCCGCGUGUGAAACCUGAUCUGCAAAGCCUGCAGGCGUGACUCCAAAGGAGACGCAAAGGAAGUUCUGCUGAGUGCCAGGUGUUGCUCAAAGCAUCUACUCUGCGAACAUGAAACUUGAACUGAACCUUUCAGCAGAAAUCUCUUGGAAUCUAACCAGUCUCAUGCAGCCUCGUGUGUCUGUACCUCCCUCUAAGGUCUCUGAAAAAUGGAAAUGUGAAGUGCCCAGCUCUGCUGCCUCUGGCCAGACUUGAUGUUUACAAAUCCACUCUGAAAUACUGGUUCUACAUUUGCCUUGGAGCAUAAUUGCUAAGGAACCACUAAGAAUUUUAAAGAUCAAACUUUCAACUGCAGCUCCUUCCCCCUGGUUUGCCUUUCUUCUCCUUUGGAUGCCACCAAGCCUCCCGUUUGCCCUGGUUUUAUUUGUGCACUGAAAACCGUGCACUACCACAGCGUGUGCCACGCUUUCCCGCCAGUGCUGUUUGGCAGUGCCCUCUUUUUAACGCUUAGUUUUAAUUUGGGCGGGAGGGGCAGAGCACAGUGUCCUAGCUGUAUUAUGAUUCCGCAGUGGAGACAUUGCAUGUUGUUUUCACUCCUGUACACUUGACCUGCACAUGCAAGAAAAGGUGGAAUGUGUAAAACACCAUAAUCAGCUCAGGGUAUUGCCAAUCUGAAAUAAAGUGGGAUGGGGAAGUGUGUCCUUCAGAGCAAGGGUCCUAAAGCCCCUUUCGCUGCAGUGAGAGGCAGAUCUUCUUGGGAAGCCAGAUUGUGAUCAGCCGGUUACUUGGUGAGCAUGGAUUCUGAGCAAGGGAAGCAAGUUGCCUCAUGCAUCCGUCUCCCUGUGGGGCCAUCCCUGCUGAUGCCGUGUUUAUGGAACAGGGUUCCCUCUUCCUGUGGACGAUGCUAGAGGUUCUCUGCCAUUCGCUGCUUCACAUCAGCUUCUGAUUGGCACUUUCAGUAGAUAUGUCAGUACCUUCAGCCUUGUCUCCUUUGAACUGGCCUGGGCUCCCAUCUGCCUGUGUCUGGUCAAUUGCUUUUGCUCUGAUCCACUGUUUCUUACUGAUAUUCAAAGGAUUGUUUUAUUUCCACUCUCAGGGGGAGACUUCUCAGUAUUGCUCUCAUUUCCUGCCUAACACAUAAUAAACUGUUUUUGUUACGUUACGUAUAUGUGGGAAUCGCUGUCUAUACUGCUUUUUAACAUAUGACCUAUGUUCCUUGAGCAUUAAUUUUCUAGAAAAAUUUGAGAAAACAGUUCAAUAAUUUAGAAGAUCACAUUUGAAAUAAUUAGCUAUAUUAUGGGAUGGAAUGCAAAAUGUUAAAACAGGAGACUUCAAAGAAUUGUUGAGCAUAAUGUAGCCACCCAUUGGGGCUCCAGGCCCAAUUCUCCAUUUGUGGGGGCAUCUGCUAUGCUUGGGGGUAAAGGCCCUUGGAGAGAGAAUUUUGGUGAGCCUCAGCUGAAUGAGCAAAGAUCUGGUUCCUGUCAGUAUUUAUACUCUGUAAAUGUGAUGGUUCAUAACGAUUCUCUGUAUAAAAAAAACUAUUUUAAGUCCUUUGCAAACCUGGGAAAUAUAUUUGUACCUAACAUACAGGUUUAGAGGUGCUAAGAGUUCUUUGAAGAUUCCUGUAACAGUCUUUUUCCAAAAUGCUUUCUUGUCUCUUAAAGCUUUCACUUUUCUUAAAACCUUAAAACUUUCACAUCAGAGAUUUACAAUGUUUUCAUGUGUACUUUUUUAAAUGUAUGAAUAUUUUGUUUAAAUCCCCUCCUAAUCAGUACCUCUUUGCUUGGGAAAAUAUAUAAUGACUGAUAGCGACUGUGCAUUUAGUAAUGUUUUUAAAUAAAUGUGCAUAUUAAACACCAUUGGAUCAGCAGACAUUGGAAGCAAAAGUUUGUACAGGUAUGUGCAAGAUAUGAGCCACUCCUUGCUUGCUGUGGAUCUGCAGACAGCCUGUCUUCUGGAAGGCCCCAGAGGUCCACAGUGGAAUGACGGGGGUGAGCUGACUGGAGUGUCUGGGGCAGGGGGCGGGAGACAAGUUCUUCUCCAUCUUGUCUGGUGCUCAGCAUAGGGCUCGCGUAAAUUGGGCCAUCAGUAAGUGGUUGUUGGAUAAAUAACUUGGUGGUUUAAUUAUGUUAACUUUUUAGCUAUCAAGAGAAAUUAUACUGAAAACUAGUCUGUUUAUGCUGAAGUUAUGUGGUAAGCAAUACCCAAGUUCCUGUUGUGUGCAGAGCACUGCGCUGGAUGAAAUAAAGGAAUUCACAAGAGGACAGGCUUUCUCUACAGAAGAGCCUAUGACCUGGGAGACAACUAGAACUAAAGACUAAGUCCUCCACCCUAAGCCUGUGCAGGUGCCAGAAUUCAGUCUACUGGAAACCAGUGACCUCGUAUAAAAUGAUGUGCUCAGCAAUGGCUCGAACUACUACCUACGUUGUACCAGGAAAGAAGCCUGACCUGAUACUCACCAACACUGUUUCUGAAGUGGCCUCUGACGCAGACUUUGGAACUCCUUUUUCAGCCUCAUCUUGGCUAUCACUUCGGUACCGUGUCGAGAAAGACGGAAGACUAGUGGUAACUGAGACUGAAUUCAGAGGAAGGAACCAGUCAGAAGCAGUGUUUUCAGGACAGAGGAUGGACACGCCACCAUGGGCACCAGAGGUGAGGGCUCCUGGAGGAUGACAGCUGGAUGAAGUGGAACAGAGAGGAGAGAAACACAGAACCUGCGCAGAAAGACUCGUCUCUGCCCCGUCUUUCAUAGUAACAUACCUAAGAUAACAUAUUCACCUGUGAGGGUGAUGAUUUGUUUUAAACAGAAAAUAAAAUUUUGGAUACUAGAA
RNA transcript from Myotis myotis, 5012 nucleotides. It is a transcript of the gene named phosphodiesterase 7A, with no coding region annotated. The transcript has 17 exons. NCBI's taxonomy places the organism in Eukaryota, Metazoa, Chordata, Mammalia, Chiroptera, Vespertilionidae. The record is from RefSeq and is a predicted model, not a curated record.